Molecule: ribosomal RNA, 207 nt
Filed under: uncultured bacterium
Lineage: Bacteria
Description: partial 16S ribosomal RNA
Rfam family: Bacterial small subunit ribosomal RNA
Source: RNAcentral
CGCGUAGGUGGUUAGGUAAGCGAGAUGUGAAAGCCCCGGGCUUAACCUGGGAACGGCAUUUCGAACUGUCUGACUAGAGUAUGGUAGAGGGUAGUGGAAUUUCCUGUGUAGCGGUGAAAUGCGUAGAUAUAGGAAGGAACACCAAUGGCGAAGGCGGCUACCUGGACCAAUACUGACACUGAGGUGCGAAAGCGUGGGGAGCAAACA